UACGUAGGGUGCAAGCGUUGUCCGGAAUUAUUGGGCGUAAAGAGCUCGUAGGCGGUUUGUCGCGUCGGCUGUGAAACCCCGAGGCUCAACCUCGGGCCUGCAGUCGAUACGGGCAGACUAGAGUUCGGUAGGGGAGACUGGAAUUCCUGGUGUAGCGGUGAAAUGCGCAGAUAUCAGGAGGAACACCGGUGGCGAAGGCGGGUCUCUGGGCCGAUACUGACGCUGAGGAGCGAAAGCGUGGGGAGCGAACAGG
RNAcentral lists this ribosomal RNA (253 nucleotides) under uncultured bacterium. RNAcentral's name for it is "partial 16S ribosomal RNA". It matches the Rfam family "Bacterial small subunit ribosomal RNA", at positions 524 to 776 of the family's 1533-position model. The record is from RNAcentral.